AACGUAGGAGGCAAGCGUUAUCCGGAUUUACUGGGCGUAAAGCGCGUGCAGGCGGUAUGGUAAGUUGGAUGUGAAAGCUCCCGGCUUAACUGGGAGAGGUCGUUCAAUACUGCCAUACUUGAGGAUAGGAGAGGGAGGUGGAAUUCCGGGUGUAGUGGUGAAAUGCGUAGAUAUCCGGAGGAACACCAGUGGCGAAGGCGGCCUCCUGGCCUAUUUCUGACGCUCAGACGCGAAAGCUAGGGGAGCGAACGGGAUUAGAUACCCCCGUA
RNAcentral lists this ribosomal RNA (269 nucleotides) under uncultured prokaryote. RNAcentral's name for it is "partial 16S ribosomal RNA". It matches the Rfam family "Bacterial small subunit ribosomal RNA", at positions 524 to 792 of the family's 1533-position model. The record is from RNAcentral.